Molecule: transfer RNA, 91 nt
Filed under: Balneola sp.
Lineage: Bacteria; Pseudomonadati; Balneolota; Balneolia; Balneolales; Balneolaceae
Description: tRNA-Ser
Rfam family: tRNA
About the family: Transfer RNA (tRNA) molecules are approximately 80 nucleotides in length. Their secondary structure includes four short double-helical elements and three loops (D, anti-codon, and T loops).
Source: RNAcentral
GGAGAGGUGCCGGAGCGGUCGAACGGGCUCGCCUGGAAAGCGUGUGUGCCUCACAAGGGUACCGAGGGUUCGAAUCCCUCCCUCUCCGCAA